UGGGGAAUAUUGCACAAUGGAGGAAACUCUGAUGCAGCGACGCCGCGUGAGUGAAGAAGGUCUUCGGAUCGUAAAACUCUGUCCUUGGUGACGAAAAAAAUGACGGUAGCCAAGGAGGAAGCCCCGGCUAACUACGUGCCAGCAGCCGCGGUAAUACGUAGGGGGCGAGCGUUGUCCGGAUUUACUGGGCGUAAAGGGUGAGUAGGCGGUAAUAUGUGUCAGAUGUAAAAGGCUAUGGCUUAACCAUAGUUGGCAUUUGAAACUGUAUGACUUGAGUGCAGGAGAGGUAAGUGGAAUUCCUGGUGUAGCGGUGAAAUGCGUAGAUAUUAGGAGGAACACCAGUGGCGAAGGCGACUUACUGGACUGUAACUGACGCUGAGUCACGAAAGCGUGGGUAGCAAACA
Molecule: ribosomal RNA, 404 nt
Filed under: uncultured bacterium
Lineage: Bacteria
Description: bacterial SSU rRNA
Rfam family: Bacterial small subunit ribosomal RNA
Source: RNAcentral